This 1443-nucleotide ribosomal RNA is filed under the name uncultured organism. RNAcentral's name for it is "SSU rRNA". It matches the Rfam family "Bacterial small subunit ribosomal RNA". The record is from RNAcentral.
CGCUAGCUACAGGCUUAACACAUGCAAGUCGAGGGGCAGCAUGGUCUUAGCUUGCUAAGGCCGAUGGCGACCGGCGCACGGGUGAGUAACACGUAUCCAACCUGCCGUCUACUCUUGGACAGCCUUCUGAAAGGAAGAUUAAUACAAGAUGGCAUCAUGAGUCCACAUGUUCACAUGAUUAAAGGUAUUCCGGUAGACGAUGGGGAUGCGUUCCAUUAGAUAGUAGGCGGGGUAACGGCCCACCUAGUCUUCGAUGGAUAGGGGUUCUGAGAGGAAGGUCCCCCACAUUGGAACUGAGACACGGUCCAAACUCCUACGGGAGGCAGCAGUGAGGAAUAUUGGUCAAUGGGCGAGAGCCUGAACCAGCCAAGUAGCGUGAAGGAUGACUGCCCUAUGGGUUGUAAACUUCUUUUAUAAAGGAAUAAAGUCGGGUAUGCAUACCCGUUUGCAUGUACUUUAUGAAUAAGGAUCGGCUAACUCCGUGCCAGCAGCCGCGGUAAUACGGAGGAUCCGAGCGUUAUCCGGAUUUAUUGGGUUUAAAGGGAGCGUAGAUGGAUGUUUAAGUCAGUUGUGAAAGUUUGCGGCUCAACCGUAAAAUUGCAGUUGAUACUGGAUAUCUUGAGUGCAGUUGAGGCAGGCGGAAUUCGUGGUGUAGCGGUGAAAUGCUUAGAUAUCACGAAGAACUCCGAUUGCGAAGGCAGCCUGCUAAGCUGCAACUGACAUUGAGGCUCGAAAGUGUGGGUAUCAAACAGGAUUAGAUACCCUGGUAGUCCACAUGGUAAACGAUGAAUACUCGCUGUUUGCGAUAUACAGCAAGCGGCCAAGCGAAAGCGUUAAGUAUUCCACCUGGGGAGUACGCCGGCAACGGUGAAACUCAAAGGAAUUGACGGGGGCCCGCACAAGCGGAGGAACAUGUGGUUUAAUUCGAUGAUACGCGAGGAACCUUACCCGGGCUUAAAUUGCAGAUGAAUUACGGUGAAAGCCGUAAGCCGCAAGGCAUCUGUGAAGGUGCUGCAUGGUUGUCGUCAGCUCGUGCCGUGAGGUGUCGGCUUAAGUGCCAUAACGAGCGCAACCCUUGUUGUCAGUUACUAACAGGUUCUGCUGAGGACUCUGACAAGACUGCCAUCGUAAGAUGUGAGGAAGGUGGGGAUGACGUCAAAUCAGCACGGCCCUUACGUCCGGGGCUACACACGUGUUACAAUGGGGGGUACAGAGGGCCGCUACCACGCGAGUGGAUGCCAAUCCCAAAAACCUCUCUCAGUUCGGACUGGAGCCUACAACCCGACUCCACGAAGCUGGAUUCGCUAGUAAUCGCGCAUCAGCCACGGCGCGGUGAAUACGUUCCCGGGCCUUGUACACACCGCCCGUCAAGCCAUGGGAGCCGGGGGUACCUGAAGUGCGUAACCGCGAGGAGCGCCCUAGGGUAAAACUGGUGACUGGGGC